AGGAACAGAAGAUAAGAGAAGGUCUUUAUAUGACGGGGCUGGAAGAUGGGAUACUCCAUCUCUCAUGGUUUAUUGCAUAUAAUUUGCAGGAUAACUAUUGUUGCUUGGCUCUAGUAUGUGCACUGUUGAACAAUGAUUGAGUCUCAGCAUUGAUCAACUUGCAAGAAA
This is a non-coding RNA of Prunus avium (sweet cherry), 168 nucleotides long. NCBI's taxonomy places the organism in Eukaryota, Viridiplantae, Streptophyta, Magnoliopsida, Rosales, Rosaceae. The record is from RefSeq and is a predicted model, not a curated record.